RNAcentral lists this ribosomal RNA (508 nucleotides) under uncultured bacterium. RNAcentral describes it as "partial 16S ribosomal RNA". It matches the Rfam family "Bacterial small subunit ribosomal RNA", at positions 28 to 523 of the family's 1533-position model. The record is from RNAcentral.
GAUGAACGCUAGCUACAGGCUUAACACAUGCAAGUCGAGGGGAAACGAUAGAGAAAGCUUGCUUUUUCUAGGCGUCGACCGGCGCACGGGUGAGUAACGCGUAUCCAACCUGCCCACCACUUGGUGAUAACCUUGCGAAAGUAAGACUAAUACCCAAUGAUAUCUCAAGAAGACAUCUGAAUGAGAUUAAAGAUUUAUCGGUGAUGGAUGGGGAUGCGUCUGAUUAGCUUGUUGGCGGGGUAACGGCCAACCAAGGCGACGAUCAGUAGGGGUUCUGAGAGGAAGGUCCCCCACAUUGGAACUGAGACACGGUCCAAACUACUACGGGAGGCAGCAGUGAGGAAUAUUGGUCAAUGGGCGAGAGCCUGAACCAGCCAAGUAGCGUUCAGGAUGACGGCCCUAUGGGUUGUAAACUGCUUUUAUAAGGGAAUAAAGUGAGUCUCGUGAGGCUUUUUGCAUGUACCUUAUGAAUAAGGACCGGCUAAUUCCGUGCCAGCAGCCGCGGUAA